GAUGAACGCUAGCGGGAGGCCUAACACAUGCAAGCCGAGCGGUAUGGAAUCUUCGGAUUUUAGAGAGCGGCGUACGGUGCGGAACACGUGUGCAACCUACCUUUAUCUGGAGGAUAGCCUUUCGAAAGGAAGAUUAAUACUCCAUAAUAUAUUGAUUGGCAUCAAUUAAUAUUGAAAGCUCUGGCGGAUAGAGAUGGGCACGCGCAAGAUUAGUUAGUUGGUGAGGUAACGGCUCACCAAGACGAUGAUCUUUAGGGGCCUGAGAGGUGAUCCCCACACUGGUACUGAGACACGGACCAGACUCCUACGGGAGGCAGCAGUGAGGAAUAUUGGACAAUGGGUGCAAGCCUGAUCCAGCCAUCCCGCGUGAAGGACGACUGCCCUAUGGGUUGUAAACUUCUUCUGUAUAGGGAUAAACCUCUCCUCGUGAGGAGAGCUGAAGGUACUAUACGAAUAAGCACCGGCUAACUCCGUGCCAGCAGCCG
This 485-nucleotide ribosomal RNA is filed under the name uncultured bacterium. RNAcentral describes it as "bacterial SSU rRNA". It matches the Rfam family "Bacterial small subunit ribosomal RNA", at positions 28 to 517 of the family's 1533-position model. The record is from RNAcentral.